CGGCGGACGGGUGAGUAACGCGUGGGUAACCUGCCUCAUACAGGGGGAUAACAGUUAGAAAUGACUGCUAAUACCGCAUAAGACCACAGCACCGCAUGGUGGCGGGGGUAAAAACUCCGGUGGUAUGAGAUGGACCCGCGUCUGAUUAGCUAGUUGGUAAGGUAACGGCUUACCAAGGCGACGAUCAGUAGCCGACCUGAGAGGGUGACCGGCCACAUUGGGACUGAGACACGGCCCAA
RNAcentral lists this ribosomal RNA (239 nucleotides) under uncultured bacterium. Its description in RNAcentral is "partial 16S ribosomal RNA". It matches the Rfam family "Bacterial small subunit ribosomal RNA", at positions 96 to 334 of the family's 1533-position model. The record is from RNAcentral.